This 500-nucleotide ribosomal RNA is filed under the name Fusarium sp. ASR-58. Its description in RNAcentral is "eukaryotic LSU rRNA". The stretch from base 168 to 322 matches the Rfam family "5.8S ribosomal RNA". The record is from RNAcentral. Lineage: Eukaryota; Fungi; Ascomycota; Sordariomycetes; Hypocreales; Nectriaceae.
CUGCGGAGGGAUCAUUACCGAGUUUACAACUCCCAAACCCCCUGUGAACAUACCACUUGUUGCCUCGGCGGAUCAGCCCGCUCCCAGGUAAAACGGGACGGCCCGCCAGAGGACCCCUAAACUCUGUUUCUAUAUGUAACUUCUGAGUAAAACCAUAAAUAAAUCAAAACUUUCAACAACGGAUCUCUUGGUUCUGGCAUCGAUGAAGAACGCAGCAAAAUGCGAUAAGUAAUGUGAAUUGCAGAAUUCAGUGAAUCAUCGAAUCUUUGAACGCACACUUGCGCCCGCCAGUAUUCUGGCGGGCAUGCCUGUUCGAGCGUCAUUUCAACCCUCAAGCCCUCGGGUUUGGUCGUUGGGGAUCGGCGAGCCCUCUCGCGGCAAGCCGGCCCCGAAAUCUAGUGGCGGUCUCGCUGCAGCUUCCAUUGCGUAGUAGUAAAACCCUCGCAACUGGUACGCGGCGCGGCCAAGCCGUUAAACCCCCAACUUCUGAAUGUGACCUC